UAGAACUGUAGGUAGCUUCUCAACUAACUAUCUUAUUGUAGUUUAGUUGAGUAAGAGGAAAGUCCAUGCUUGCAUAGUCUGAGAUGACUAUAGUGAUUGUGUGAGUAUAUAAAAGAUAAAACUCAACGGCUAGUCUGACUAGUUGAUGGCGGAGAACCUUUCUAAAUAAGCUUUACAGCUUACAUGAGUAAUUCUUUGUAAAGUGCCACAGAGACGAGCUCUAUAGAAAUAUAGAGUGUGAAACGAGGCAAACCCCGCAAGCAAGAAACCUAAAUUAUUGGUGAGGGAACUUAAGCAAAGGAAAUGAACAAUGCUUAGGAAUCAAUUAUUUGAUUAGAUUAAUUACCUACUUUGACAGAACAUGGCUUAUUGUU
This 374-nucleotide RNase P RNA is filed under the name Mycoplasma wenyonii. RNAcentral describes it as "RNase P RNA component class B". It matches the Rfam family "Bacterial RNase P class B". Rfam says of the family: Ribonuclease P (RNase P) is a ubiquitous endoribonuclease, found in archaea, bacteria and eukarya as well as chloroplasts and mitochondria. Its best characterised activity is the generation of mature 5'-ends of tRNAs by cleaving the 5'-leader elements of precursor-tRNAs. Lineage: Bacteria; Bacillati; Mycoplasmatota; Mollicutes; Mycoplasmatales; Mycoplasmataceae. The record is from RNAcentral.